CAACCAAUUUUCAGAAAUUGAGAUUACCAAUUUGGGUCCUAUAUAAGACUGGGGAGAAAAUGCAAAAUUCUGAAAUGUCUGCAAGGCUGGAGAGCAGUUUUCCACCGAGCUCUCCUCAGAUGAGAUUGCAGAAAUUCUUCUGUUUUCGCCUUCCUGCCUGGCUCUGCCACCAGGCAAUUCUGUUCACACUGUUCUCCAAGACAAAAUCUGAGCCAGCCUGAGAUUUGUGCUGAUGGAUCCCUUGGAGUCAAGAUGGAUUUGAACCAGAGCACUGCAGGAAGAAAUAAAUAUAAACAGAAUUGAGAAAAAAAUGGAAAAGAGCUCUUCAGAGUCAUGUAAACUCCUGGGGCAAAGAGAGAGGUAGAAUUCAAGUAGCAAAGUCUUCUUGGACCAGUUCCCACUGACUGAAUCCGUGGAAGGCACCAUCUUCUGCUGGUCCCUACUGUGGGCAUUGGCAGGUAAUGACCAACAACUUUGUUGUGACAUGGCUAUGGAUCCUCCACCUCUGAAGAGAGCCAAUUUAAUUUAUGUUCACACAUUGGGGUUUAAUUCUGUGGACUAAAUUUAGACGUUCUUUGCAACAAAUUUUUAUUUCUGUCCUGCUCCCCUCUGGUUUUUCCUGUGUCUGUGAGUACAGCAGACAUCAUCUAAAGCAAGCAGAAACACAAUGUAGUUUUUAUCACUGCUCUAAACUAGCCUGAAAUUCAUCUUUUUGGGUCAGCUGUGCUCAUUCACAUUGCAAAACACAAGAGCCUCUCCAGAGCAUUUUUACUACACUCAUAAAGAAAUAAUGGAAAACCAAGAAUCAUUCCUAGAGAAAGGAGAGCACGAAGCAUGAGCAAUGUCUGGCUACAGUUCCACUCCUGAUCUCUUCCCUGGACAGAACAAAGUAGGACAGUGCACUUAAAAUCCAUCUAUUUUACAACAAGACUAGUAGCUGCUUUGCUGCAGUGACAAGCAGUGAUAUUAAAAUUGUGUCACUGAGCUUUGGGAUUAACACCUUGUGGGAAGCACCUGGAGGAGCUCGCACCGCUCGGCUCUGCAGCUGCUGGGGAGCACUGCCCACACCAGGAC
This is a long non-coding RNA of Catharus ustulatus (Swainson's thrush), 1074 nucleotides long. RefSeq lists it as uncharacterized. The transcript is spliced from 4 exons. NCBI's taxonomy places the organism in Eukaryota, Metazoa, Chordata, Aves, Passeriformes, Turdidae. The record is from RefSeq and is a predicted model, not a curated record.